AGAGUUUGAUUCUGGCUCAGAUUGAACGCUGGCGGCAUGCUUUACACAUGCAAGUCGAACGGUAACAGGCCGCAAGGUGCUGACGAGUGGCGAACGGGUGAGUAAUGCAUCGGAACGUGCCCAGUCGUGGGGGAUAACGCAGCGAAAGCUGUGCUAAUACCGCAUACGAUCUAUGGAUGAAAGCGGGGGACCGUAAGGCCUCGCGCGAUUGGAGCGGCCGAUGUCAGAUUAGCUAGUUGGUGGGGUAAAGGCCCACCAAGGCGACGAUCUGUAGCUGGUCUGAGAGGACGACCAGCCACACUGGGACUGAGACACGGCCCAGACUCCUACGGGAGGCAGCAGUGGGGAAUUUUGGACAAUGGGCGCAAGCCUGAUCCAGCAAUGCCGCGUGCAGGAAGAAGGCCUUCGGGUUGUAAACUGCUUUUGUACGGAACGAAACGGUCUGGGUUAAUACCUCGGGCUAAUGACGGUACCGUAAGAAUAAGCACCGGCUAACUACGUGCCAGCAGCCGCGGUAAUACGUAGGGUGCAAGCGUUAAUCGGAAUUACUGGGCGUAAAGCGUGCGCAGGCGGUGAUGUAAGACAGUCGUGAAAUCCCCGGGCUCAACCUGGGAAUUGCGAUUGUGACUGCAUCGCUGGAGUGCGGCAGAGGGGGAUGGAAUUCCGCGUGUAGCAGUGAAAUGCGUAGAUAUGUGGAGGAACACCAAUGGCGAAGGCAGCCCCCUGGGAUAACACUGACGCUCAUGUACGAAAGCGUGGGUAGCAAACAGGAUUAGAUACCCUGGUAGUCCACGCCCUAAACGAUGUCAACUGGUUGUUGGGGGAGUGAAAUCCCUUAGUAACGAAGCUAACGCGUGAAGUUGACCGCCUGGGGAGUACGGUCGCAAGAUUAAAACUCAAA
Molecule: ribosomal RNA, 901 nt
Filed under: uncultured bacterium
Lineage: Bacteria
Description: bacterial SSU rRNA
Rfam family: Bacterial small subunit ribosomal RNA
Source: RNAcentral